ACAAUACAAAACAUUCUAUUUAAGGCCUCUGACGUCAAGAUUCAGUUAAACAACAAUUAUAACUAAACAAUUUGAGGAAAUGUUAGUUUCCAUUAACAUUAAAUUAGGUUACUGAAUUGGCAAACACCUUCCUAUUAACAUUACCCAUUUUACCCCAAUAACUAAAGAAAUUAGCACUUGCAGGUCAAAAACUUUAUUCAAGAGAUGCAAAAAUAACAUUGAUACAGUGACUGUCAAAAAUUACAGCACUGAUCAUACUGUGACAUCUUGGUUCAAAACAGCACACUUAGAAAUAUUCAACGUUCUUUACUUCAACUGAAUGAAACUGAAAAUACCAUUUCACACGACCCAUAUGGGAUAUUUAGACUGUAUAACUGUUCAUGCUACAUCUCUUCACUAGUAAAAGAAAGAAAAAAUACAAAGAGAAAUUUAAAAAUGCUGCCAAACAGACAAACAGAGAACUUGUACAGAGCAAAAGGAAAAACAAACAACAACAACAAAAACGGCUCGUCCUCAUGGCAGUUGCAGAGUAUAUAAAAAUGAACCCUGCGAUCUGCUCCUGGAAUUGAGCUUCAAAAAUGCAGCAGAACAAGUGUGAGAUUUAAAUGUCCUCUCACCUAGAGCUGAUCACCUCACAUGCAUAACAGUGAGCUUUCCUUGCAGGAGCAGUUUUGUCUUAGUUGUGAGCUUUUCUUGAGAGCUGAGUUGCAUCCAACUCCAUUACCACCCAUUGAAUCACCUCAAAAGUGUAGCAGAGUUGUGAUGGGUAACUCAUAUUGAAGGAAUAAAAAAGGUCCAAACAGCAUGGCUACUGCAAAGGUCACGUUAUCCAGAUCUUGAAGAACUACUAUACCCUCGAUGAUGAUGCCAACAUCAGAAAAGUCAUUGCCUGGCGCAUCUCUGGAGACAGAUGUUCAUUGUGGUUUUCUCAAUCUGUGCAGUGGCCUCAGUCAAGUCCUGGUUAAACACAAAACAUUUCUUUAAGAUUCCCUUUUAAACUCAUCUCUUUUGAAUCUACCAGUUCUAAUGUUAGAGUAAUUUAAACCAUAGUAAAUAGCUAUAGCCAAAGAGUUGCCUGCCAUGCUGCCAUUCAUGGUCUAACAGAGUUUCUAAGAGAGGGUGAAAAACAUAAUAAUUUCAAAUGCUUUACAUUAGUUUUUGUUAGAAAGACACCGGCCCAUCAGAAAUCCAGGUUAUGUCACUCAGAAGAUGUUAGAAUUUAGACUUUCAGCCCCACAAUUUGGUUAGCUGUUGGUCAGUUGGUCUUUUUUUUUUUUUUUUUUUCAAACAAAAGCUAAUGUAAAUAUUGGGGGGAUUUUUCUUUGUUCACUAGAAUGACAAAUUUAAAGUUUUUUCACACUGAUGUGACCCCUAAUACAGGGGUAGGGAUGGGGCCUCAAGGGCCGGCGGCCGAGUUCACUACUAGGCCUCAUGUGAACUUCAAAUUAUUAAAGAGGACUACUGGUCCUAACCAGUCCAAUGAGGAUCAAGUGGAUAACUAAAUGCAUUUUUAAAUGUUGCAAAGCCACAAUCUACUCAUAAAACACUCACCAUGAACUCCUGCACCAAGAUGUUGCAAUUGUCUUUCACACAGAUGCAGAGCACUUUGAUGAGACUCCCUUUGAGCAUUAAUGUCAUCCUAAAGUAUUAUAACAAAGAAAACAGAGAUUUGUGAACUUUUCAGUAGCACAGAAGAAAAUGAUCCCAGACAAAAACUUGACUUUUUAAACCAGUCAACAUGCAACACCAGCAUCUAGAAAGCAAUAUCA
This is a long non-coding RNA of Astatotilapia calliptera (eastern happy), 1769 nucleotides long. The record is from Ensembl. Lineage: Eukaryota; Metazoa; Chordata; Actinopteri; Cichliformes; Cichlidae.